UGAGGAAUAUUGGUCAAUGGACGAGAGUCUGAACCAGCCAAGUAGCGUGAAGGAUGAAGGCCCUAUGGGUCGUAAACUUCUUUUAUAGGGGAAUAAAGUGCGGAACGUGUUCCGCUUUGUAUGUACCAUACGAAUAAGGGUCGGCUAACUCCGUGCCAGCAGCCGCGGUAAUACGGAGGACCCGAGCGUUAUCCGGAUUUAUUGGGUGUAAAGGGUGCGUAGACGGGAAUGUAAGUUAGUUGUGAAAUCCCUCGGCUUAACUGAGGAACUGCAACUAAAACUACAUUUCUUGAGUGCAGGAGAGGAAAGUGGAAUUCCUAGUGUAGCGGUGAAAUGCGUAGAUAUUAGGAGGAACACCAGUGGCGAAGGCGACUUACUGGACGAUAACUGACGCUGAGGCUCGAAAGCGUGGGGAGCAAACA
Molecule: ribosomal RNA, 422 nt
Filed under: uncultured bacterium
Lineage: Bacteria
Description: bacterial SSU rRNA
Rfam family: Bacterial small subunit ribosomal RNA
Source: RNAcentral